UCCUACGGGAGGCAGCAGUUGGGAAUCUUGGACAAUGGAGGAAACUCUGAUCCAGCCAUGCCGCGUGAGUGAUGAAGGCCUCGGUUGUAAACUACUUUCGUCGCGCGACGAUAAUGACGGUACCAUUUGUAAGCUCCGGCUAACUCCGUGCCAGCAGCCGCGGUA
This 165-nucleotide ribosomal RNA is filed under the name uncultured bacterium. RNAcentral's name for it is "partial 16S ribosomal RNA". It matches the Rfam family "Bacterial small subunit ribosomal RNA", at positions 337 to 522 of the family's 1533-position model. The record is from RNAcentral.